UUCUUCGGGGCAGGGUGAGAUUCCCGACCGACGGUAAGAAGUUUAUAUAAACUUUAAGCCCGUGACCUGCUAUAUAUAAUAUAGUGGCUGAUCUGGUGUAAUUCCAGAGCCGACAGUACAGUCUGGAUGGGAGAAGAUG
Molecule: non-coding RNA, 139 nt
Filed under: Candidatus Pseudogracilibacillus intestinigallinarum
Lineage: Bacteria; Bacillati; Bacillota; Bacilli; Caryophanales; Bacillaceae
Description: FMN riboswitch (RFN element)
Rfam family: FMN riboswitch aptamer (RFN element)
About the family: The RFN element is a highly conserved domain that is found frequently in the 5'-untranslated regions of prokaryotic mRNAs that encode for flavin mononucleotide (FMN) biosynthesis and transport proteins. This element is a metabolite-dependent riboswitch that directly binds FMN in the absence of proteins.
Source: RNAcentral